AUGGUUGUAGCAUGCUUCCUCUUGCUAACCAUCAUCCUAUUCCUAGCAACAGCCAGCAGCACCACCACCUCCUCCUCCGUCGUCAUCAACGCAAGCCAAACAUCCCACGGGGGCUGCAUCCCGGCCGAGAGGGCCGCGCUGCUCUCCUUCAAGGCCGGCCUCACAGGCGAUCCGGACAAUCGUCUCGUCUCGUGGCAACAAGGUGCACAUACGGACAACUGCUGCCGGUGGACCGGCAUCACCUGCAGCCGCCGGACAGGCCACGUGAUCAAGCUUGACCUCCACUACGAUGAUCCAAUGGUGUAUUAUUUAUCUGAUGAUGAACCUGAGAGCCACUCACUGCGUGGUCAGUUAUCUCCUUCUUUGCUCGCUCUCCGACGCCUCAAAUAUCUCGACCUUAGCCAGAACUAUCUCCUCGGAGAUGCAAAGGAUAUGCCGGGAUUCUUGGGCUCUCUUCAGAGUUUGAUUUAUCUCAACCUCUCCAAGAUGGGUUUUCAGGGCAGAGUGCCUCCUCAGCUAGGCAACCUCUCCAACCUAGUACAAAUUGACAUACAGCGCAAUAUUAUGGGCGCCGGUUAUCAAUACUCACACGAUAUAUCUUGGUUGGCGCGUCUCCGCUCGCUAGAACAUCUCAACAUGGGCUGGAUCGACCUUAGUGGAGUUGUUGACUGGGUCCAUACGGCCGGCGCACUUCCUAAUUUGGCUGUACUGAUUCUGUUUCAAUGUGGCCUUACUAAUAGUAAUGUUCCAUCAUCGUUUGUACACCACAACCUUACAGUUCUUGAAGAGGUUGACCUCACUGGUAACCAAUUCAGCAGUCCAGAUACACCCAACUGGUUAUGGAAUGUAACUAGCCUCAGGAGCCUAAGGUUAGAGAAUUGUGGAUUAUCAGGCACGUUUUCUAACAAGCUGGGAAACUUGACCUUGUUAGAGACCUUUGCCUUUGGACUCAACAACGUUGAUGGGAUGAUACCAGGAACACUGAAAAAAAUGUGUAAUCUAAGGUCUCUAGAUCUCACCGGCAACGACAUCAGCAUGGACAUAAAAGAGUACAUUGGCUUUUCUGAUAAUAAUUUGGAAGUUAUUAUUGACUCGCAUUGGGUACCUCCGUUCAACUUGGAAUCAGCAUGGUUAUCAUCUUGUCGUUUGGGUCCCAAGUUUCCUAAAUGGCUUCGAUGGCAGAAAGGCAUUCGUGAACUUGAUAUUUCAAACACAGGUCUAGUUGAUAGGCUACCAGAUUGGUUUUGGGCUACCUUUUCCGAAGUUACAUGGUUGGACAUCUCCUGGAAUCAACUAAGCGGCGACUUACCAGCAAAUCUGGAGUUCAUGUCAGUGAUUACACUGUUGAUGCAGUCAAAUCUACUGACUGGUUUGAUACCCAAGUUACCAAGCACAAUUAAGGUAUUGGACAUAUCCAGAAACUUCUUAAAUGGGUUUGUGCCAAAUUUGGGAGCUCCAAAUUUGCAAGUUGCAGUUAUGUUUUCCAAUGCUAUAUCGGGACUGUUCCGACUUCAAUUUGUCGAUUGCGGAAAUUGCGGAUCUUAG
This 1545-nucleotide ribosomal RNA is filed under the name Triticum aestivum (bread wheat). RNAcentral's name for it is "partial small subunit ribosomal RNA". Lineage: Eukaryota; Viridiplantae; Streptophyta; Magnoliopsida; Poales; Poaceae. The record is from RNAcentral.